RNAcentral lists this ribosomal RNA (254 nucleotides) under uncultured bacterium. RNAcentral describes it as "partial 16S ribosomal RNA". It matches the Rfam family "Bacterial small subunit ribosomal RNA", at positions 524 to 776 of the family's 1533-position model. The record is from RNAcentral.
UACGGGGGGAGCAAGCGUUGUUCGGAUUUACUGGGCGUAAAGGGCGCGUAGGCGGUCAGCACAAGUCAGUUGUGAAAUCUCCGGGCUUAACCCGGAAAGGUCAACUGAUACUGCAGGGCUAGAGUGCAGAAGGGGCAACUGGAAUUCUCGGUGUAGCGGUGAAAUGCGUAGAUAUCGAGAGGAACACCUGCGGCGAAGGCGGGUUGCUGGGCUGACACUGACGCUGAGGCGCGAAAGCCAGGGGAGCGAACGGG